GGCUUGCAGUGGGUACGGGCAGACUAGAGUGCGGUAGGGGUGACUGGAAUUCCUGGUGUAGCGGUGGAAUGCGCAGAUAUCAGGAGGAACACCGAUGGCGAAGGCAGGUCACUGGGCCGCAACUGACGCUGAGGAGCGAAAGCAUGGGGAGCGAACAGGAUUAGAUACCCUGGUAGUCCAUGCCGUAAACGUUGGGCACUAGGUGUGGGGCUCAUUCCACGAGUUCCGUGCCGCAGCAAACGCAUUAAGUGCCCCGCCUGGGGAGUACGGCCGCAAGGCUAAAACUCAAAGAAAUUGACGGGGGCCCGCACAAGCGGCGGAGCAUGCGGAUUAAUUCGAUGCAACGCGAAGAACCUUACCAAGGCUUGACAUACACCGGAAAAGUGCAGAGAUGUGCUCCCCUUUUGGUCGGUGUACAGGUGGUGCAUGGUUGUCGUCAGCUCGUGUCGUGAGAUGUUGGGUUAAGUCCCGCAACGAGCGCAACCCUCGUCCCAUGUUGCCAGCGGGUUAUGCCGGGGACUCAUGGGAGACUGCCGGGGUCAACUCGGAGGAAGGUGGGGAUGACGUCAAAUCAUCAUGCCCCUUAUGUCUUGGGCUUCACGCAUGCUACAAUGGCCGGUACAAAGGGCUGCGAUACCGCAAGGUGGAGCGAAUCCCAAAAAGCCGGUCUCAGUUCGGAUUGGGGUCUGCAACUCGACCCCAUGAAGUCGGAGUCGCUAGUAAUCGCAGAUCAGCAACGC
This 740-nucleotide ribosomal RNA is filed under the name Cellulomonas sp. STS58. Its description in RNAcentral is "bacterial SSU rRNA". It matches the Rfam family "Bacterial small subunit ribosomal RNA", at positions 618 to 1357 of the family's 1533-position model. The record is from RNAcentral. Lineage: Bacteria; Bacillati; Actinomycetota; Actinomycetes; Micrococcales; Cellulomonadaceae.